UCCGUAGGCGGAUUAAUAAGUCAGAGGUGAAAUCCCACAGCUUAACUGUGGAACUGCCUUUGAUACUGUUAGUCUUAAGUUAUAUGGAAGUAGAUAGAAUGUGUAGUGUAGCGGUGAAAUGCAUAGAGAUUACACAGAAUACCGAUUGCGAAGGCAGUCUACUACGUAUAUACUGACGCUAAUGGACGAAAGCGUGGGGAGCGAACAGGAUUAGAUACCCUGGUAGUCC
RNAcentral lists this ribosomal RNA (229 nucleotides) under uncultured bacterium. RNAcentral's name for it is "partial 16S ribosomal RNA". It matches the Rfam family "Bacterial small subunit ribosomal RNA", at positions 568 to 796 of the family's 1533-position model. The record is from RNAcentral.